AGUGAACGCUGGCGGUAGGCCUAACACAUGCAAGUCGAACGGCAGCACAGUAAGAGCUUGCUCUUACGGGUGGCGAGUGGCGGACGGGUGAGGAAUACAUCGGAAUCUACUUUUUCGUGGGGGAUAACGUAGGGAAACUUACGCUAAUACCGCAUACGACCUACGGGUGAAAGCAGGGGAUCUUCGGACCUUGCGCGAUUGAAUGAGGCGAUGUCGGAUUAGCUAGUUGGCGGGGUAAAGGCCCACCAAGGCGACGAUCCGUAGCUGGUCUGAGAGGAUGAUCAGCCACACUGGAACUGAGACACGGUCCAGACUCCUACGGGAGGCAGCAGUGGGGAAUAUUGGACAAUGGGCGCAAGCCUGAUCCAGCCAUACCGCGUGUGUGAAGAAGGCCUUCGGGUUGUAAAGCCCUUUUGUUGGGAAAGAAAAGCAGCAGGUUAAUACCCCGCUGUUCUGACGGUACCCAAAGAAUAAGCACCGGCUAACUUCGUG
RNAcentral lists this ribosomal RNA (492 nucleotides) under uncultured bacterium. RNAcentral's name for it is "partial 16S ribosomal RNA". It matches the Rfam family "Bacterial small subunit ribosomal RNA", at positions 29 to 507 of the family's 1533-position model. The record is from RNAcentral.